This 482-nucleotide ribosomal RNA is filed under the name uncultured bacterium. Its description in RNAcentral is "bacterial SSU rRNA". It matches the Rfam family "Bacterial small subunit ribosomal RNA", at positions 58 to 525 of the family's 1533-position model. The record is from RNAcentral.
CAAGUCGAACGGCAGCGGGGGCUUCGGCCUGCCGGCGAGUGGCGAACGGGUGAGUAAUGCAUCGGAACGUACCCAGUCGUGGGGGAUAACUACGCGAAAGCGUAGCUAAUACCGCAUACGCCCUGAGGGGGAAAGCGGGGGACCUAAGGGUAACUGAGGGCCUCGCGCGAUUGGAGCGGCCGAUAUCGGAUUAGCUAGUUGGUGGGGUAAAGGCUCACCAAGGCGACGAUCCGUAGCGGGUCUGAGAGGACGACCCGCCACACUGGAACUGAGACACGGUCCAGACUCCUACGGGAGGCAGCAGUGGGGAAUUUUGGACAAUGGGGGCAACCCUGAUCCAGCCAUUCCGCGUGAGUGAAGAAGGCCUUCGGGUUGUAAAGCUCUUUCAGCAGGAGCGAAACGGUCGUUUUUAAUACAGACGGCUAAUGACGGUACCUGCAGAAGAAGCACCGGCUAACUACGUGCCAGCAGCCGCGGUAAUA